Molecule: ribosomal RNA, 644 nt
Filed under: uncultured archaeon
Lineage: Archaea
Description: bacterial SSU rRNA
Rfam family: Archaeal small subunit ribosomal RNA
Source: RNAcentral
GAGAUAUACUCCUAAGAUCUUGAGGCUGGAAUGCGCUAAGAUUGAAAGCUUCGGCGCCUAAGGAUGAGUCUGCGGACUAUCAGGUUGUAGUCAGGGUAAAGACCUGACUAGCCUACGACGGAUACGGGUUGUGAGAGCAAUAACCCGGAGAUGAUAUCUGAGACACGAUAUCAGGCCCUACGGGGCGCAGCAGGCGCGAAAACUUCACAAUGCGCGAAAGCGCGAUGAGGGGAUCCCAAGUGCUUGCACGUAAGUGUAAGCUGUUUUUCUGUUUAAAAAGCAGAGAGAGUAAGAGCUGGGUAAGACGGGUGCCAGCCGCCGCGGUAAUACCUGCAGCUCAAGUGGUGGCCGCUAUUAUUGGGCCUAAAACGUCCGUAGCCGGCUAAGUAAAUGCCUGGGUAAAUCGUGCCGCUUAACGGUACGAAUUCCGGGUAGACUGCUUAGCUUGGGACCGGAAGAAGUUAGAGGUACUCCUGGGGUAGGGGUGAAAUCCUGUAAUCCUGGGGGGACCACCAGUGGCGAAGGCGUCUAACUAGGACGGGUCUGACGGUGAGGGACGAAGCCUGGGGCGCAAACCGGAUUAAAUACCCGGGUAGUCCAGGGUGUAACGCUGCUCCUUGAUGUUAGUCGGGCUCCAACCCACU